Molecule: transfer RNA, 72 nt
Filed under: Bos taurus (domestic cattle)
Lineage: Eukaryota; Metazoa; Chordata; Mammalia; Artiodactyla; Bovidae
Also listed under: 2 other names
Rfam family: tRNA
About the family: Transfer RNA (tRNA) molecules are approximately 80 nucleotides in length. Their secondary structure includes four short double-helical elements and three loops (D, anti-codon, and T loops).
Source: Rfam by way of RNAcentral
UCCUUUGUAGCUCAGUCAGUAAAGAAUCUGCCUGCAGUGCAGGAGACCCAGGUUCAAUCCCUGGGUUGGGAA